Molecule: ribosomal RNA, 492 nt
Filed under: Actinomyces sp. oral taxon 171
Lineage: Bacteria; Bacillati; Actinomycetota; Actinomycetes; Actinomycetales; Actinomycetaceae
Description: bacterial SSU rRNA
Rfam family: Bacterial small subunit ribosomal RNA
Source: RNAcentral
GACGAACGCUGGCGGCGUGCUUAACACAUGCAAGUCGAACGGUGAAGCGCUUUCCUUUUUGGUUGGUGUGGAUGAGUGGCGAACGGGUGAGUAACACGUGAGUAACCUGCCCCCUUCUUCUGGAUAACCGCAUGAAAGUGUGGCUAAUACGGGAUAUUCUGCGCCUGCUGCAUGGUGGGUGUGGGAAAGAUUGUGCCUUUGGGUGUUUUCGGUGGGGGAUGGGCUCGCGGCCUAUCAGCUUGUUGGUGGGGUGAUGGCCUACCAAGGCGGUGACGGGUAGCCGGCCUGAGAGGGUGGACGGUCACACUGGGACUGAGACACGGCCCAGACUCCUACGGGAGGCAGCAGUGGGGAAUAUUGCACAAUGGGCGCAAGCCUGAUGCAGCGACGCCGCGUGAGGGAUGGAGGCCUUCGGGUUGUGAACCUCUUUCGCCAGUGAAGCAGGCCUGCUUCCUUGUGGGUGGGAUGACGGAGCUGAUAAGAAGCGCCGCA